This 251-nucleotide unclassified non-coding RNA is filed under the name Ascomycota sp. RNAcentral describes it as "partial contains small subunit ribosomal RNA, internal transcribed spacer 1, and 5.8S ribosomal RNA". The stretch from base 1 to 47 matches the Rfam family "Eukaryotic small subunit ribosomal RNA", at positions 1785 to 1831 of the family's 1831-position model. Lineage: Eukaryota; Fungi; Ascomycota. The record is from RNAcentral.
AAAGUCGUAACAAGGUCUCCGUUGGUGAACCAGCGGAGGGAUCAUUACUGAGUUACCGCUCUAUAACCCUUUGUGAACAUACCUAACUGUUGCUUCGGCGGGCAGGGGGUCCCCCCGGGGACGCCCUCCCGGCCACGCCCCUCGCGGGGCGGGGCGCCCGCCGGAGGAUACCAAACUCUGUUUUAACGACGUUUCUUCUGAGUGGCACAAGCAAAUAAUUAAAACUUUUAACAACGGAUCUCUUGGUUCUG